CUACGGGGGGCAGCAGUGGGGAAUAUUGCACAAUGGGCGCAAGCCUGAUGCAGCCAUGCCGCGUGUAUGAAGAAGGCCUUCGGGUUGUAAAGUACUUUCAGCGGGGAGGAAGGGAGUAAAGUUAAUACCUUUGCUCAUUGACGUUACCCGCAGAAGAAGCACCGGCUAACUCCGUGCCAGCAGCCGCGGUAAUACGGAGGGUGCAAGCGUUAAUCGGAAUUACUGGGCGUAAAGCGCACGCAGGCGGUUUGUUAAGUCAGAUGUGAAAGCCCCGGGCUCAACCUGGGAACUGCAUCUGAUACUGGAAAGCUUGAGUCUCGGAGAGGGGGGUAGAAUUCCAGGUGUAGCGGUGAAAUGCGUAGAGAUCUGGAGGAAUACCGGUGGCGAAGGCGGCCCCCUGGACGAAGACUGACGCUCAGGUGCGAAAGCGUGGGGAGCAAACAGGAUUAGAUACCCCUGUAGUC
Molecule: ribosomal RNA, 464 nt
Filed under: uncultured bacterium
Lineage: Bacteria
Description: partial 16S ribosomal RNA
Rfam family: Bacterial small subunit ribosomal RNA
Source: RNAcentral